GACGAACGCUGGCGGCGUGCUUAACACAUGCAAGUCGAACGAUGAUGCCCAGCUUGCUGGGUGGAUUAGUGGCGAACGGGUGAGUAACACGUGAGUAACCUGCCCCUGACUCUGGGAUAAGCGUUGGAAACGACGUCUAAUACUGGAUAUGACUGCCGGCCGCAUGGUCUGGUGGUGGAAAGAUUUUUUGGUUGGGGAUGGACUCGCGGCCUAUCAGCUUGUUGGUGAGGUAAUGGCUCACCAAGGCGACGACGGGUAGCCGGCCUGAGAGGGUGACCGGCCACACUGGGACUGAGACACGGCCCAGACUCCUACGGGAGGCAGCAGUGGGGAAUAUUGCACAAUGGGCGAAAGCCUGAUGCAGCAACGCCGCGUGAGGGAUGACGGCCUUCGGGUUGUAAACCUCUUUUAGUAGGGAAGAAGCGUAAGUGACGGUACCUGCAGAAAAAGCACCGGCUAACUACGUGCCAGCCGCCGCUGUAA
Molecule: ribosomal RNA, 483 nt
Filed under: uncultured bacterium
Lineage: Bacteria
Description: partial 16S ribosomal RNA
Rfam family: Bacterial small subunit ribosomal RNA
Source: RNAcentral